Pygocentrus nattereri (red-bellied piranha) is the source of this 211-nucleotide long non-coding RNA. RefSeq lists it as uncharacterized. The record is from RefSeq and is a predicted model, not a curated record. NCBI's taxonomy places the organism in Eukaryota, Metazoa, Chordata, Actinopteri, Characiformes, Serrasalmidae. The transcript is spliced from 2 exons.
AGCUUCAAAAGUUGAGGGGCAAAGUUGAACUGAUGGAACAAAAGAUCAAAAUGCUGGAACAAGUGAAUUCGGAUCUGAAGGAUGACAAAGAAUUUUUGCUCAGCCAGAUAAAAUCAUCGGCUCCUCAGCUGAAGAGGCAAACCAUUCAGACUUCAUCAGAUGAUGAAUCGAGCACAUCAUCAUACACGUCCAGUUCUUCAGAGGAGGUGCC